UACGUAGGGGGCGAGCGUUGUCCGGAAUUACUGGGCGUAAAGGGUGCGUAGGUGGCCUUUUAAGUUGGAUGUGAAAUACCCGGGCUUAACUUGGGGGGUGCAUCUAAUACUGGAAGGCUAGAGUGCAGGAGAGGAAAGCGGAAUUCCUAGUGUAGCGGUGAAAUGCGUAGAUAUUAGGAGGAACACCAGUGGCGAAGGCGGCUUUCUGGACUGUAACUGACACUGAGGCACGAAAGCGUGGGGAGCAAACAGGAUUAGAUACCCUGGUAGUCCACGCGGUAAACGAUGAAUACUAGGUGUAGGGGGUAUCAACUCCCCCUGUGCCGCAGCUAACGCAAUAAGUAUUCCGCCUGGGGAGUACGGCCGCAAGGUUGAA
Molecule: ribosomal RNA, 376 nt
Filed under: uncultured bacterium
Lineage: Bacteria
Description: bacterial SSU rRNA
Rfam family: Bacterial small subunit ribosomal RNA
Source: RNAcentral